AUUGAACGCUGGCGGCAGGCUUGACACAUGCAAGUCGAGCGGGGUGAUGGUGCUUGCACUAUCACUUAGCGGCGGACGGGUGAGUAAUGCUUAGGAAUCUGCCUAUUAGUGGGGGACAACAUCUCGAAAGGGAUGCUAAUACCGCAUACGUCCUACGGGAGAAAGCAGGGGAUCACUUGUGACCUUGCGCUAAUAGAUGAGCCUAAGUCGGAUUAGCUAGUUGGUGGGGUAAAGGCCUACCAAGGCGACGAUCUGUAGCGGGUCUGAGAGGAUGAACCGCCACUAUGGGAAUGAGACACGGCCCAGACUCCUACGGGAGGCAGCAGUGGGGAAUAUUGGACAAUGGGGGGAACCCUGAUCCAGCCAUGCCGCGUGUGUGAAGAAGGCCUUAUGGUUGUAAAGCACUUUAAGCGAGGAGGAGGCUCUUUUGGUUAAUACCCAAGAUGAGUGGACGUUACUCGCAGAAUAAGCACCGGCUAACUCUGUGCCAGCAGCCGCAGUAA
This 503-nucleotide ribosomal RNA is filed under the name uncultured bacterium. RNAcentral's name for it is "partial 16S ribosomal RNA". It matches the Rfam family "Bacterial small subunit ribosomal RNA", at positions 30 to 523 of the family's 1533-position model. The record is from RNAcentral.